UAAUCUUACAAUUAAAGGAUAUUUCUUGCAAGUUAAUGCGAAAACGGAAAUGUCCCUUAAUUGUUUGGCUAAGUAUAUUC
Molecule: microRNA precursor, 80 nt
Organism: Electrophorus electricus (electric eel)
Lineage: Eukaryota; Metazoa; Chordata; Actinopteri; Gymnotiformes; Gymnotidae
Product: eel-mir-7552-1
Source: Ensembl